GCCGGGCGUAGUGGCGGGCGCCUGUAGUCCCAGUUACUCGGGAGGCUCAAGCAGGGGAAUUGCUUGAACCCAGGAGCUGGAGGUUGCAGUGAGCUGAGAUUGCGCCACUGCACUCUAGCCUGGGUGACAGAGCGAGACUCUGUCU
Unclassified non-coding RNA from Macaca mulatta (Rhesus monkey), 145 nucleotides. It matches the Rfam family "Metazoan signal recognition particle RNA". Rfam says of the family: The signal recognition particle (SRP) is a universally conserved ribonucleoprotein. The record is from Ensembl. NCBI's taxonomy places the organism in Eukaryota, Metazoa, Chordata, Mammalia, Primates, Cercopithecidae.